Small nuclear RNA from Gopherus agassizii (Agassiz's desert tortoise), 117 nucleotides. Lineage: Eukaryota; Metazoa; Chordata; Testudines; Testudinidae. The record is from Ensembl.
AUGCUUCUUGUAAGUUCAGACAGCAGCACAUAUACUAAAACUGGAAUGAUACAGAGAAGAGUAGCAUGGCCCCUGCGCAAGGAUGACACGCAAAUUCAUGAAGCAUCCCAUCAAUCC